Molecule: microRNA precursor, 198 nt
Filed under: Brachypodium distachyon (stiff brome)
Lineage: Eukaryota; Viridiplantae; Streptophyta; Magnoliopsida; Poales; Poaceae
Description: MIR1435 microRNA precursor family
Rfam family: MIR1435 microRNA precursor family
Source: Rfam by way of RNAcentral
UAGCUUUGUCCUAAGUAAAACUUUUUGAAGUUUGACCAAGUUUAUAGAAAAAUGUAUCAGCAUAUAGAAUAUCAAAUAAGUAUACUAUGAAGAUAUAUCAUAAUGGACUUGCUAAAACUAAUUUAGAGUUGUACAUGUUGGUAUAUUUUUCUAUAAACUAGGUCAAAGUUUAAGAAGUUUGACUUAGGACAAAGUUAG